RNAcentral lists this long non-coding RNA (261 nucleotides) under Lathyrus oleraceus (garden pea). RNAcentral's name for it is "Pisum sativum (pea) long non-coding RNA (PSAT_LNC023699)". Lineage: Eukaryota; Viridiplantae; Streptophyta; Magnoliopsida; Fabales; Fabaceae. The record is from RNAcentral.
UUCAUGAUAAGCACUUCAAUAACCCUCCUCCUAACUUGAAAAAAACAAAAUGUAAUAGAAUAAAAAGCCACACUUCUAACCGACAUCAAAAAGAUUUAUAACUACCACUAACAGUUCCUAACAAACUCUCGCGCCUCCAAUUAUCCAGCAAACCCCAUAACCGAAUUCGGGCGGCCCUAACCGAAUUUAAACCACCCUCACAACUGUCAACAGAAACAGAACGGAAAAAGGAAUUCUCGAACCUUCCAUAAAAACCACUUC